Molecule: non-coding RNA, 84 nt
Organism: Ruminococcus sp. DSM 100440
Lineage: Bacteria; Bacillati; Bacillota; Clostridia; Eubacteriales; Oscillospiraceae
Source: Rfam
GCGGAUAUGGCGGAAUAGGCAGACGCGCUAGAUUCAGGUUCUAGUCCUCGCGAGGGGGUACAGGUUCAAGUCCUGCUAUCCGCA